ACGGCGGACGGGUGAGUAACACGUGGAUAACCUACCUAUAAGACUGGGAUAACUUCGGGAAACCGUAGCUAAUACCGGAUAAUAUUUUGAACCGCAUGGUUCAAAAGUGAAAGACGGUCUUGCUGUCACUUAUAGAUGGAUCCGCGCUGCAUUAGCUAGUUGGUAAGGUAACGGCUUACCAAGGCAACGAUGCAUAGCCGACCUGAGAGGGUGAUCGGCCACACUGGAACUGAGACACGGUCCAGACUCCUACGGGAGGCAGCAGUAGGGAAUCUUCCGCAAUGGGCGAAAGCCUGACGGAGCAACGCCGCGUGAGUGAUGAAGGUCUUCGGAUCGUAAAACUCUGUUAUUAGGGAAGAACAUAUGUGUAAGUAACUGUGCACAUCUUGACGGUACCUAAUCAGAAAGCCACGGCUAACUACGUGCCAGCAGCCGCGGUAAUACGUAGGUGGCAAGCGUUAUCCGGAAUUAUUGGGCGUAAAGCGCGCGUAGGCGGUUUUUUAAGUCUGAUGUGAAAGCCCACGGCUCAACCGUGGAGGGUCAUUGGAAACUGGAAAACUUGAGUGCAGAAGAGGAAAGUGGAA
Molecule: ribosomal RNA, 584 nt
Filed under: uncultured Staphylococcus sp.
Lineage: Bacteria; Bacillati; Bacillota; Bacilli; Caryophanales; Staphylococcaceae
Description: bacterial SSU rRNA
Rfam family: Bacterial small subunit ribosomal RNA
Source: RNAcentral